GCGGGGGUCGCCAAGCCUGGUCAACGGCGCAAGGUUCAGGCCCUUGUCCCGAAGGGGUUCGUGGGUUCAAAUCCCACCCCCCGCACCA
RNAcentral lists this transfer RNA (88 nucleotides) under Nitrososphaeria archaeon. Its description in RNAcentral is "tRNA-Leu". It matches the Rfam family "tRNA". From Rfam's summary of the family: Transfer RNA (tRNA) molecules are approximately 80 nucleotides in length. Their secondary structure includes four short double-helical elements and three loops (D, anti-codon, and T loops). The record is from RNAcentral. Lineage: Archaea; Thermoproteati; Nitrososphaerota; Nitrososphaeria. RNAcentral also lists the same sequence under 2 other names.